Molecule: long non-coding RNA, 407 nt
Organism: Amphiprion ocellaris (clown anemonefish)
Lineage: Eukaryota; Metazoa; Chordata; Actinopteri; Pomacentridae
Source: Ensembl
CACACAUGACCGAGGAAAGUUUGUGUCCGUGCAUUCUUUACUCAUUAUCCCCUUUCAGGUGCAACAUGGAACUUCUGCUGCUGCCAGCUGUACUGAAAGGAAGCUUUUCAAACGUGGCAGCAGCUCAGGGAGCAGCACAUCACUGCAGCAAGGCUCUGGACGAACUGAAACCAGAUACCCUAGAAGAUGCGUUUGAUGUUAUCUUUUGGAGCACUUGAAGGCCAUGGUGUAUCAGGUGAAGAUGCGACACAUAAAUCAUCUCAAGGAAUGUAUCACUAACGCCAUUACAAGCAUAACUUCAACUAUGCUAAUGCAAGUUCAUCAACAGUGGAAAACACGUAUUAUGUGUUUUCAAAACAAUGACUAUCAUAUAGAGCACAUUAUAUAAAUAAAAAUGGUUGUCCAAC